CUUUUUAUUACUUCUGAUGUGGAAGGAUGGCAUCUUCUGAUUUUGUGCAAGAAAGCCUUGCUAUGGGUGUCAUCCUCAAUCUGCGUUCACCAGGACUGCCUGUGCCCUGAACCCAGCAUUUCUGCUGAAAGCCAGCCUUUUUCCUCUGGACGCAAGCUGACACGGACCUGGAAAUGGGGACAGUUUCCGAGUGGAGUUAAGAGCUGCUCUUGCUUGCUGCACAGUCAGCCAGGGGCAUUCAUCCCUCAGGAGGCCUUUUGGCUCGUUUCUUCACAUCUGUCCGUGUCACAGUGUACUGGAGAACCACUCACACGGGGCAUUAAUAGUAUGUGAAUAUUAAAAAUCUUGUAAACAUUUUAUUCAAAUGUAUUGUCAUUUUAGCAGUUUGUUUUUCUUAAACUAACUCCGUAUGGGUAUGUGUUUGAAGGCCUGUUACAAAGCCUCUGUGUGAACACUAAUCCACUGAGGGUCCCUCCGUGGCCACCGCCACCGCUGACAGCCUCGGAACAAAGGUAAGCAAAUUGCCCCAAGCAGGGUUAUCUCCAGAGGGAGCGGUGGCCAAAUGCCGUCUGAGGUU
Cygnus atratus (black swan) is the source of this 577-nucleotide long non-coding RNA. RefSeq lists it as uncharacterized. The transcript is spliced from 3 exons. NCBI's taxonomy places the organism in Eukaryota, Metazoa, Chordata, Aves, Anseriformes, Anatidae. The record is from RefSeq and is a predicted model, not a curated record.